RNAcentral lists this ribosomal RNA (114 nucleotides) under Fasciola hepatica (liver fluke). Lineage: Eukaryota; Metazoa; Platyhelminthes; Trematoda; Plagiorchiida; Fasciolidae. The record is from RNAcentral.
GCCAGUAGACCACGUUCGAAACACCGGUUCUCGUCUAAUCACCGAGGUUAAGCAACGUCGGGCCCGGUUAGUACUUGCACGAGUGACCGGCUAGGAGUACCGGGUGUUGCGGCC